GAUGAACGCUAGCGACAGGCCUAACACAUGCAAGUCGAGGGGCAGCAUAAAGGUAGCAAUACUUUGGUGGCGACCGGCGCACGGGUGAGUAACACGUAUGCAACCUACCUGUAAGAGGGGAAUAACCCGGAGAAAUUCGGACUAAUACCGCAUAAUACUGAUUAUCUGCAUGGAUUGAUCAGUUAAACAUUUAUGGCUUACAGAUGGGCAUGCGUAUGAUUAGAUAGUUGGUAGGGUAACGGCCUACCAAGUCAACGAUCAUUAGGGGUUCUGAGAGGAAGGUCCCCCACACUGGUACUGAGACACGGACCAGACUCCUACGGGAGGCAGCAGUGAGGAAUAUUGGUCAAUGGGCGAGAGCCUGAACCAGCCAAGUCGCGUGAAGGAAGAAGGUUCUAUGGAUUGUAAACUUCUUUUGAAAGGGAAUAAAAAGGUUACGUGUAACUUAUUGUAUGUACUUUACGAAUAAGGAUCGGCUAGCUCCGUGCCAGCAGCCG
RNAcentral lists this ribosomal RNA (497 nucleotides) under uncultured bacterium. Its description in RNAcentral is "bacterial SSU rRNA". It matches the Rfam family "Bacterial small subunit ribosomal RNA", at positions 28 to 517 of the family's 1533-position model. The record is from RNAcentral.